UAACUAAGAACGGCUGUAACAGAUUUACCAUUAUAAACGCCUGACAAAGUAUUCGAUAAUCUGCCCGAGCAGUCCCCCACCUCGCUAGCGAGAGGCUCGCCGGCCUUCGAAGCCCACUUGGCGAGCCCCUGUUCCGUAGACUGACCGCGCACAUUUCGGGGACAGAGGACCUCAAAGGGACUGCUAUGAGCCUCCUCCCUCCCAGAAAAAGAAGAGACGAAUCCUGUUCAGCGUCACCCCAGAAUCACCAUCUAACCUACCACGGGUGAACUCGAUCACAGGAAGAGGAAUAGCAGAAUUAGUUUGAGCCUUCUCACUUGAUCAGGUUCUUUAGAACUCAGAACUCGAGGCUCAGGACCGUCUCUGGUCACGGCAACCUCUAACGAGGAACAGUAGAGGAAGCAUCAACUAUGGACAGCUUCGCUGAGGUGGGCUAGCCUCCUUCACCGCAGAGAAGUACUUC
This 463-nucleotide long non-coding RNA is filed under the name Monodelphis domestica (gray short-tailed opossum). RNAcentral describes it as "lncRNA (ENSMODG00000048269.1)". The record is from RNAcentral. Lineage: Eukaryota; Metazoa; Chordata; Mammalia; Didelphimorphia; Didelphidae.